RNAcentral lists this ribosomal RNA (119 nucleotides) under Sparus aurata (gilthead seabream). The record is from RNAcentral. Lineage: Eukaryota; Metazoa; Chordata; Actinopteri; Spariformes; Sparidae.
GCUUACGGCCAUACCACUCUGAACACGCCUGAUCUCGUCCGAUCUCGGAAGCUAAGCAGGGUCGGGCCUGGUUAGUACUUGGAUGGGAGACCGCCUGGGAAUACCAGGUGCUGUAAGCU